This 35-nucleotide ribosomal RNA is filed under the name Heterorhabditis bacteriophora. Its description in RNAcentral is "partial 28S ribosomal RNA". The record is from RNAcentral. Lineage: Eukaryota; Metazoa; Nematoda; Chromadorea; Rhabditida; Heterorhabditidae.
CAACCUGAGCUCAGUCGUGAUUACCCGCUGAACUU